This is a non-coding RNA of Desarmillaria ectypa, 81 nucleotides long. The record is from the annotation of a GenBank genome assembly. Lineage: Eukaryota; Fungi; Basidiomycota; Agaricomycetes; Agaricales; Physalacriaceae.
UGCCCCAUGGCUGAGUUGGUUACAGCGUCCGACUGUUAUGAAGUAAUCGGAAGGUCGAGAGUUCGAGCCUCUCUGGGGCAG